GGACUACACGGGUAUCUAAUCCUGUUUGCUACCCACGCUUUCGCUCCUCAGCGUCAGUACCGGCCCAGAGUGGCGCCUUCGCCACCGGUGUUCCUCCUGAUAUCUGCGCAUUUCACCGCUACACCAGGAAUUCCCCACUCCCCUACCGGACUCCAGUCACGACAGUAUCGGGUGGCGUCUCCGGGUUGAGCCCGGAGUUUUCACACCCGACUUGUCGAACCGCCUACGAGCUCUUUACGCCCAAUAAAUCCGGACAACGCUUGGCCCCUACGUGUUACCGCGGCUGCUGGCAC
Molecule: ribosomal RNA, 293 nt
Filed under: uncultured bacterium
Lineage: Bacteria
Description: partial 16S ribosomal RNA
Source: RNAcentral